Molecule: small nucleolar RNA, 138 nt
Organism: Tachyglossus aculeatus (Australian echidna)
Lineage: Eukaryota; Metazoa; Chordata; Mammalia; Monotremata; Tachyglossidae
Source: RefSeq, a predicted model, not a curated record
GCCUUCUCAGGGUCACACCCGGAGAAUUUCCAGUACUCUACCAGUCUCGACAGUGGGAGGGAGAGUCAAGCAGAGGCCUGUCCAUUCCAUUCCUAGCUCGGCCAGUGGCUAGCGAGUGGAAGACAACCUGCUACAUUG